UGGGGAAUAUUGGACAAUGGGCGAAAGCCUGAUCCAGCCAUGCCGCGUGUGUGAAGAAGGUCUUCGGAUUGUAAAGCACUUUAAGUUGGGAGGAAGGGCAUUAACCUAAUACGUUAGUGUUUUGACGUUACCGACAGAAUAAGCACCGGCUAACUCUGUGCCAGCAGCCGCGGUAAUACAGAGGGUGCAAGCGUUAAUCGGAAUUACUGGGCGUAAAGCGCGCGUAGGUGGUUUGUUAAGUUGGAUGUGAAAUCCCCGGGCUCAACCUGGGAACUGCAUUCAAAACUGACUGACUAGAGUAUGGUAGAGGGUGGUGGAAUUUCCUGUGUAGCGGUGAAAUGCGUAGAUAUAGGAAGGAACACCAGUGGAGAAGGCGA
This 377-nucleotide ribosomal RNA is filed under the name uncultured bacterium. RNAcentral's name for it is "partial 16S ribosomal RNA". It matches the Rfam family "Bacterial small subunit ribosomal RNA", at positions 355 to 724 of the family's 1533-position model. The record is from RNAcentral.